RNAcentral lists this transfer RNA (72 nucleotides) under Sphaerodactylus townsendi. Its description in RNAcentral is "tRNA-Ala". It matches the Rfam family "tRNA". From Rfam's summary of the family: Transfer RNA (tRNA) molecules are approximately 80 nucleotides in length. Their secondary structure includes four short double-helical elements and three loops (D, anti-codon, and T loops). Lineage: Eukaryota; Metazoa; Chordata; Lepidosauria; Squamata; Sphaerodactylidae. The record is from RNAcentral.
GGGGCUGUGGCUCAGUGGCAGAGCAUCUGCUUGGCAUGCAGAAGUUCCCUGGUUCACUUCCCAGCAUCUUCA